RNAcentral lists this long non-coding RNA (1062 nucleotides) under Homo sapiens (human). RNAcentral describes it as "uncharacterized LOC105373418, transcript variant 8 (LOC105373418)". Lineage: Eukaryota; Metazoa; Chordata; Mammalia; Primates; Hominidae. The record is from RNAcentral.
AGUCAUGUCCAGUUCUGUAAACAAAUUCUCAACUGCACCAGAAGGCCUGACAGUUAAGAGAACCCAGUGAAGAAACCUUUUGCAGAGAGAGAAAAGAACCCUUUUGAAUGUGAUCAAUCACGCUGAUUUAUUUGGAUGAUUUCUCUUCUGGAUUUCCUUAAACCAGGGAAAACCCAGGGACAGCAAUUGCUAUAAUUGAUGCAAACGAUCCCAGCCACACUCCCUGAUCCUGGUUCUGAAACUCAGAGAUGCAGCUGACCAGACUGAUGUGGCCAGCCUCACUCUGAAGGAUCCUGCAGCAGACAAAUUGCUGGAAUGUGUUCAGACGGAAUCCAGCUGCUACAACCGUCACACAAACUUCCUGAAAUAGAGGACAAAAGAGACAGAGGUCUUGCUAUGUUGCCCAGGCUGGUCUCAAGCUCCUGGCCUCAAGCGAUUCUCCUUCCUCAGCCUCCAAAAGUGCUGGGAUUACAGGUGCAACAGUGACCCGUGACGCAGUAGGGAGGGCUGUUUUCCAUGCCCAGUGAGGCCUGCUCAGCUCCCAUUAGGCCUUUAUGGAUGGCCUGCCUCCCAGCUGGUACCUGGUCCCGUCACAGUCCCAGGACUCUAGACCUCGAGGCAGCCAGGUGGGUGCUACAGAUGGUGACCUCUCGGUGGCACAGCCUGGCGCUGCAGCAGAAUGCAGGGUUGGGGGCGGGGUGAAGAAUGGAGUCUGGAUUGUGCCAAAACAGGAGUUUCUAUGUCUGGUCCUGCCACCGACUGCACCUGCAUUGCUGCGUGACCUUGACAGCUACUCCUUCCACACCUGAACGUCCUCAUCUGGAAACUGGACUUGCCUCCUAGGGUUCCUGCAAAUAUAAAAUGAGCUAAUGCCUUUGAGGUGUUUGCUAUUGUCCUGGCACUUGGCAAACACAUGAUAAAUAUUAGCAAUCACUUGCGAGGGGGUGUGGGGUUCGGGGGAGCUUUGCCCCUCCUCCCCCUCUCCAGGGCUGAGCAGCAGUGAAGAGCUUUCUGCAUAAGAGAGAGCAAGAGAGAUAAAUAAACCCACAUCUUCCUCUGAAA